GGCCUCUCCAUGGGCUGCGAGCGGGAGGAGGGGGCGGCGGCGAGCGCUACCCGCCGGGCCGCGGCCGCUCCGAGGUGAACGGCGGCGGCGCGGAGGGAGGAGAGCGGCUCGCGAGCGGCGCGGGGAGGCCGGGCGCGCCGCCGCCGCCGCCGCGAUGAAUUCCGCCGAGCAGACCGUUACGUGGCUCAUCACCUUGGGGGUGCUCGAGUCGCCCAAGAAAACCAUCUCGGACCCGGAGGGCUUCCUGCAGGCGUCCCUGAAGGAUGGCGUGGUCCUCUGCAGGCUGCUGGAGCGCCUGCUGCCCGGGACCAUCGAGAAAGUCUACCCGGAUCCGCGCAGCGAGAGCGAGUGUCUGAGCAACAUCCGCGAGUUUCUGCGAGGCUGCGGGGCCUCCCUGCGCCUGGAGACGUUUGAUGCAAAUGAUUUGUACCAGGGGCAGAAUUUUAACAAGGUCCUCAGUUCCUUAGUGACUUUAAAUAAAGUAACAGCAGACAUUGGACUGGGAAGUGACUCUGUGUGUGCCCGGCCCUCAUCUCAUCGGAUAAAGUCUUUUGACUCCCUGGGAUCCCAGCCUUCCCACAGUCGGACUUCAAAAUUAUUCCAGGGCCAGUAUCGAAGCUUGGACAUGACCGAUAAUAGCAACAAUCAACUGAUAGUAAGAGCAAAGUUUAACUUCCAACAGACAAAUGAAGAUGAGCUUUCCUUUACGAAAGGAGAUGUCAUCCAUGUCACUCGAGUGGAGGAAGGGGGCUGGUGGGAGGGCACACACAACGGUAGGACUGGCUGGUUCCCCAGCAACUACGUCCGAGAGAUCAAGCCCAGUGAAAAGCCUGUGUCUCCCAAAUCUGGAACAUUGAAGAGUCCUCCAAAAGGAUUUGAUACUACUGCCAUUAACAAAAGCUAUUAUAAUGUGGUGCUACAGAACAUUUUGGAAACAGAAAAUGAAUACUCUAAAGAACUUCAGACUGUGCUUUCAACCUAUCUACGGCCGUUGCAGACCAGUGAGAAGUUAAGUUCAGCAAACACUUCAUAUUUAAUGGGAAAUUUAGAAGAAAUAUGUUCUUUCCAGCAAAUGCUUGUACAGUCUUUAGAAGAAUGCACCAAGUUGCCUGAAGCUCAGCAGAGAGUUGGAGGCUGCUUUUUAAAUCUGAUGCCACAAAUGAAAACCUUGUACCUUUCAUAUUGUGCCAAUCACCCAUCUGCAGUGAAUGUUCUCACGGAGCACAGUGAGGAGUUGGGAGAGUUCAUGGAGAUGAAAGGUGCCAACAGUCCGGGGAUUCUCGUGUUGACCACUGGCCUCAGCAAACCAUUCAUGCGCCUGGAUAAGUACCCCACUCUGCUCAAGGAGCUCGAGAGACACAUGGAGGAUUAUCAUCCGGAUAGACAAGAUAUUCAAAAAUCUAUGACUGCCUUCAAAAACCUUUCAGCCCAGUGUCAAGAUGUACGGAAAAGGAAAGAGCUGGAGUUGCAGAUCCUGAACGAAGCCAUCCGGAGCUGGGAGGGAGAUGACAUUAAGACCCUGGGCAAUGUCAUUUACAUGUCCCAGGUCAUGAUUCAGUGUGCCGGAAGUGAGGAAAAGAAUGAAAGAUAUCUUCUACUCUUCCCAAAUAUUUUGCUAAUGUUGUCUGCCAGUCCCAGGAUGAGUGGUUUUAUCUAUCAGGGAAAGCUACCAACGACAGGAAUGACAAUCACAAAGAUUGAGGACAGUGAAAAUCAUAGAAAUGCAUUUGAAAUAUCAGGGAGCAUGAUUGAGCGGAUAUUAGUGUCAUGCAACAACCAGCAGGAUCUCCAUGAAUGGGUGGACCAUCUACAGAAGCAAACGAAAGUCACAUCUGUCAGCAAUCCCCCCAUUAAGCCUCAUUCUGUGCCGUCUCAUACUCUCCCCACCCAUUCAAUCACCCCAUCCAGCAAGCAUGCAGACAGCAAGUCGGUGCCACUGACGCCUGCCUACCAUACACUGCCCCACCCCUCCCACCAUGGCACCCCACACACGACCAUCAACUGGGGGCCCCUGGAGCCUCCGAAGACCUCGAAGCCAUGGAGUCUGAGCUGUCUGCGACCUGCACCUCCCCUCCGGCCCUCAGCUGCUCUCUGCUACAAGGAGGAUCUUAGUAAGAGUCCUAAGACCAUGAAAAAGUUGCUACCUAAGCGUAAACCAGAGCGGAAGCCUUCGGACGAAGAGUUUGCGCUGAGGAAAAGCACAGCUGCUUUGGAAGAAGACGCACAGAUUCUGAAAGUCAUUGAAGCUUACUGCACAAGCGCCAAAACACGGCAAACACUUAACUCAACAUGGCAAGGCACUGACCUGAUGCAUAAUCACGUCUUGGCUGAUGAUGACCAAUCAAGUCUAGACUCCUUGGGUCGUCGCAGUAGCCUUUCUCGUUUGGAGCCUUCAGACCUCUCGGAAGACUCUGACUAUGACAGUAUAUGGACAGCCCAUAGUUACAGAAUGGGUUCUACAUCUCGGUGGCUGUAAUUCCAGGUGGCUGUGAAUUCUCUCUUCCCUCACCAUACUUCCUUCGCCAAACCCAUGUUAUUCAGUGUUCUGAUCUCGUUUGCACAGAGACAACUCUGAUACACUAUAUCAUUGUUUCCUGGGAGCUGGGUCCUGUUGCUCACAAGCCCAGAGGUGCUAGUGAACUCCCGGCAGUAGCUUAUUGCUUAGAAAACCAGACAGCUUCAGCACUGCAUGCAAUGGGGUCAUUGGGAAAACCAAUAAUUCUAAGCAUCUGUCUGUUUUCAAGCUUAUGACAUCUGGAGAUUUCAUAUUUUUAUAUCAACUAAUAUAAAUAAAGUUGAGGAGCAAUAGUUUAAAAAAUUAGAGCUCAAUAUUAACCCAUAGUAGAGAUGGAGUUUAAUAUUUAGUCAGCCAAAUAGCAAAUGGAAUUUUUGGAAAGCUAUAACUUACACAGUUCAUAUGCUUACUCAGUAUCAUGCAAGAAAUUUAGAAGCAAUUUUGUUUUAUAUUACGUAGAGUACUCACCUUUUCUGAUACGAAUAGAACAUCUUUUUGUUUGCUUUGAGACUAAUUGGUGCAUUGGCCUCGAUGCCUUUGCCAUGCCUUAGUAAACUUGGGUUGCCUGGGUCAUAUGCUGUAUAUACCACAACAAUUGAAGUACAGUUGCUGCACUUAGAUUUUUCUGUAACACCAAGUAUCGUUUGGGUUGUCUAAAUGAGUUUCAUUUUCUUUACACCAAAGUUUUGACAUGUUCCCAUUCUUGUUUGUACCAGGUAAAACCAUUUUGACGACGAUUUUUUGUUGAUGCUAAGAUCACUGCACGAUAACAACUUGGCUUUUUGUUUGUUUGGAUUUGUUUUGAAUGUCUGGCACCAUUAGCUCUUGUGACCCGUUUGGAAGUAGUAGUGCCACAGGCCUGAACACAGUUCUUGUGUGGCAGUGGUGAGAGGCGUCCAAAGGGCCACAUUUCUACUUCAGUGGACCUUCAGUCAUGCUGAAACAGUAUUAUAUGCUUACACAGUUCUGUGAUAUCUAUGUGUACAGUUAGUGUUAUAAUGGAAGAGUGAAGAAUCUGGACCAGAAAGUAGGGUUAAGCCAUUACCAGGCCCUUUUGCAAAUGGCCUAAAUGGUGUUCCCAUUGAAUUAACACUUGCCACAAGUACAUAACUUAUAUUAAUUGUGUUUUGCAUAAAAUUGCCAAACACAGUAAUGUGUAUAUAGUGGUAUAAGACCUGGAAAAAAUUUAUAUAUUGUGCUUUUUAUCUGUGAAUGGGAAAGCCAUUUUUAGUGGGUGACUGCCCUUUAAAGACUCAGUUGGAUGUAUACCUGAAUGUUGCAUUGUAUUGUACAGUAUCAUGUUAUUGUUUGUGGUUGCAUAUGGCAAUGAAGUGUUUGUUUUAUAAAAAAAAAAAAAAGACAUCUGUUAUGUACAGUUGAAAUAAAUUUUGCAUUUGCUAGCCUGUGGCUUUUAAUAUUUGUUACAUGGGGGAGGGGGUGUAGCAUAGUUUUCAGUCUAAUAUGAUUUGGCUGUCCUCAUGAACGUUGUCUUCUAAAGAAAGGCUAGGCAAUAGAACACUUUCUUUCUGCCUUAAUGGAGAUGCUUUCUUAGGUUAAAUAUGUUCUAAACAAUACAGGAGUACCCUUGUACAUUUUUAUUUCAUCUAUUUUUCUUUAAUUUUUAAAUCUCAGAGGUUUGUCUUCAGAACUGAGCAUCUCAUUUUUGUGUUUUUUUUUGGGGGGGGGAGGGAUAAGGGUGUGUGUGUGUGUGUGUGUGUACAUAAAUAGAAAAAAAAAGCGCAACUGUAAUGCUUUUUUAUUUACACUAAAGUCAGUUUUUAUUUUUUAAAGUACAUGCCCAGUUUACUAGGAAAAGCAAAAUGAAAGGAAAACUAGUCCCUAUGCCAGUGUGGGGCUAAGCCAAGGGGCAAACAAUGAAUAAAUGCAAAUAAUUCUUUAAAGAGAACCCUUACAUUUCUUUUCCUAAGAAAAAUAAAUUAAGAGUCUUAUAGCCAUAAAUAACAAAGUGGCAUUGGGAGAAAUUUUAUUAAGUAGAUUUUUUUAAAUGUAAUUUUUAAAAAUAUCGUUUUAUUGAUUUUAGAGAGGAAGGGGGAGAGGUAGAAACAUAAAUGAUGAGAAUUAUUGAUUGGUGCCUCCUGAACACCCCCUACUCGGGAUGGAACUCACGGCCCAGGUAUAUGCCCCGACCUGGAAUCAAAGGUGACCUGGUUCAUAGGUUGAUGCUCAACCACUGUGCCGAACUUCCCGGGCUAAAGUGUAAUAUUUGCUUCAUUCUGGAAAUUAUUUCACUUUUGAUUAUAAGUAAAUGCAGAUAUUAGAAAUAAGAAUUUAAGAAGUGAGUUUUGCUACAAACAUACUAAGACCGCUAGCUAGCUAGGCAGAUUUUUUUUUUUUAAUUGUUUCUUGGCUUUUGUUGGAAGCCGACUCCCUUAUGUGUACACACACACAUACCAUGCUCAUGCCCUAGAUUUGUGUUGUCAGAUGAGGCACUGAAAUGGUGUACUAACAAGUCAGAUCAGGCACCAAAAUAGUGGUCUAACAACCAAGAUGAUUCCGCCCUGGGGCUUGAGUCUUAAUCUUGCUGCCUGGGCAAAUCAUCUGUUUAUAAAAUGGAAUUGUUCGCUCAAUCGGUGUUUCUCAAAUGAAGGCCCAUUUGGGGUUCUCUGAAUGUUUUUGGAAGCAGUGUUCUAAGUGUGUCUUCAGCUUCUGGAUCACACCUCUGAGUUGCCCCCAGGGGCUCCAGUGUCUGCUGUCUCUCCAGCUUUGGUGGUGCAGAGUGACCCCUGCUGGUGGCUGUGUGGAACUGUCAUUGCCUGUUUGCCGCCAUUGGCGGCUGGAUCCCAAGCAUGUGCAGAACUGUUUGGAGUCCUCAAAUUUGGUUCACGUAAAGAAUCUGCUCCACAAGUUUUGCUUCCAGAAGAAGAAAAAAUUAUAGUUGAAGAAAC
RNA transcript from Pipistrellus kuhlii (Kuhl's pipistrelle), 5421 nucleotides. It is a transcript of the gene named Rho guanine nucleotide exchange factor 7, with no coding region annotated. NCBI's taxonomy places the organism in Eukaryota, Metazoa, Chordata, Mammalia, Chiroptera, Vespertilionidae. The transcript is spliced from 21 exons. The record is from RefSeq and is a predicted model, not a curated record.